AAAGAUUAAGCCAUGCAUGUCUAAGUAUAAGCAAUCUAUACAGUGAAACUGCGAAUGGCUCAUUAAAUCAGUUAUCGUUUAUUUGAUAGUACCUUACUACUUGGAUAACCGUGGUAAUUCUAGAGCUAAUACAUGCUAAAAACCCCGACUUCGGAAGGGGUGUAUUUAUUAGAUAAAAAACCAAUGCUCUUCGGGGCUCCUUGGUGAUUCAUGAUAACUUAACGAAUCGCAUGGCCUUGUGCCGGCGAUGGUUCAUUCAAAUUUCUGCCCUAUCAACUUUCGAUGGUAGGAUAGUGGCCUACCAUGGUUU
This 310-nucleotide ribosomal RNA is filed under the name uncultured fungus. Its description in RNAcentral is "SSU rRNA". It matches the Rfam family "Eukaryotic small subunit ribosomal RNA", at positions 39 to 352 of the family's 1831-position model. The record is from RNAcentral. Lineage: Eukaryota; Fungi.